UGGAAAAGAACCAUGUGUUAAUAAUAUGAAAGGAGACCGGGCGGGAUGAUGAUAGUGACGCAACAAGGCAUGGAGGUCUUGGGUGCGGAUCUAUCCCCGUCUGUGUCGGUUAAGGACCGAUCGUUGUACGUCCUCUUGUCAUGUUGAACGCAUGCCUAACACUUAGUUGGCUGGAUAACUCGUUCCGACCGCGAAGCCUAGUAGUAUGACUCAGGCCGGAAGACCGGCAAGUAUAAAGUGCGCACUACCGGAGGAAGUGCGGUGUGCGGGGGACCAUUGGCGUAAGUCCAAAGGCAGGUGAGUUAAAAUUCCUGACCUCCCUGGCAGAGUGGUAGCCCUAGGAGUGCGGCGCUGAUCGGAACCGCGAUUCCCGAGUCGUACCAAAGGUGACCCGUUGGCUCUCCGACGGGGGAUGCUUGGGUGAGUGCUAGGAAUACCCCUCCAGCUGGAUAGGAAUCGAUUCGAAUCGCCGUCUCUCCCGGAUAGUGAGAACUUGACAGAGCAGCGGCAAACGUAGCAUUCACU
RNAcentral lists this long non-coding RNA (525 nucleotides) under Sorghum bicolor (sorghum). RNAcentral's name for it is "long non-coding RNA (SBIC_LNC017771)". Lineage: Eukaryota; Viridiplantae; Streptophyta; Magnoliopsida; Poales; Poaceae. The record is from RNAcentral.